UUUUAUUUUGUUUAUUUUCUUGCUUUUUGCAACCGCGGGACCGCGUUUCUGCGCUUCAGAUUGCGUUUUUCCGACUCCUUUGUUUGAUAUCGUGUCGUAUCGUCGUAUUUAUGUAGUUAUUAGGAACGGCAAGGCCUACGUUGUUGCGUCCUUUACCUGAAUAUCGUGACCGAAUCGAGUGUCGUCGAUUUGAAUCGUGUCUUGCGAACCAUCGUCGAACAAAAGGUGAUGGCUGGUCGUGGUUCAUCAGCGUUUGUUUUGAAACUGAUGGGUACCACAAGGCAUGAAGGAGGUGACUUGCAGCAGCAAGGCACUGCAAGCCUUCGCAGCAACUGGCUAGCCAGUGCUGCUCUGUUCUGAACUGCACUGCGUGUCAUGCGGAGGUUUUGUGCAAGCUCUCUGGGCGGUGACGCUAGCCACGGUUGGCUUCGUGGAUGCACAGAAAUACUCAAGGCGCUUGACGUCUGUGGCUCAUCUGUAUUGUUUUUCCCGGUACCACGGCAUGAAGGAGCUGGCCUCCCUCCCUUCCAUCAGCUGCGAGAUACUACAAGCAGUGGGCUACAGCUGCAGCUAGCCCAUGGGUACCGUUCUGCGUCCUGUACUGCAUCUAGUUCGAAAGGCCAUGUGAAAGGCAGCGGCACAGCGUUUACAAACCGGACUUUGCCCUUCACCGAGGGGAAAGUCUACCGACUGGCCCUACAGUUGGCGAGCAUUGUGCAGCCGUGAGCGCGUAACUUGUCCGAAUGCUUUCGUCUGUAUACAGUGACAAAAUGACUCGCUGAAAUGCGAAGUACCAUACAGUACCAUGCCGUACAGCAAACCAUCGAUCACUUGCUGCAGCAACUUUGCGUUUUAAGUCGUAAUAAUAAAGUGAUUUUUAGGCUAAAAUCAUUUUUUCAUACUGCUCAAUUAUUCGGAAUUCUGCACGAUCCCCAUCGGGUCUGCAAUAUCGGUCGGUGGCUGUAUAACCUUUAAACACAAUGGUUACACACCACAGGUACCGGGGACCAUGACAUCAGUGAGCUGGCUUUCACCUUGUCCAAGGCAGCAGCGGAACACUACGGGCGGGACCCUGGAUCACUGCACCAUGGAUGCCGUCCUGUACCCUGCACGGCACUGCGUGUGGCUUAAGUGGCCA
Ixodes scapularis (black-legged tick) is the source of this 1138-nucleotide long non-coding RNA. RefSeq lists it as uncharacterized. The transcript is spliced from 4 exons. The record is from RefSeq and is a predicted model, not a curated record. NCBI's taxonomy places the organism in Eukaryota, Metazoa, Arthropoda, Arachnida, Ixodida, Ixodidae.